CGCACCCCACUGAGGAAGAUGGCGGCGCCCUGAGACCGGACUUGCAAACGUCUAUAGAGAUCAGAAGAACUACUGCGCUGCCUUCGCCAAGUGGAAACUGUGAUGCUGCUUAAGCUCCCUUGGUUGCAGCAGAAGCUAUAGCGAUCCGCCUCCUCAGAUGAAAUGAAAGAGCUUUAUUUUAUCCUAUCCUAUUUUAUCAUAGAGCUUUAUUUUAGCUCUAGGAGGGCUAAAAUUAAGCUCUUGUUUGUUCAACUUUUGGAUUCCAUUUAGAGCUUUAUUUUAGCAGCAGUGAUAUACCAUGGUUUUAAAUAGUUGUCUUCUAUUCCAUGACACUAAAAUAAAAAGAAAGGAAUUAACCUCUACCUUAUACUUGCGGCACUAACUUGUAAAGGAUUGCCUUGUUUGAUUGUCACAUACCGGGGGUACCCCUGGAAAAGCCUGUUGUUUAUUCCGUGUAGGAUAAUAAAAAAAAUGGGUGGUUCUCGG
Molecule: long non-coding RNA, 486 nt
Organism: Ixodes scapularis (black-legged tick)
Lineage: Eukaryota; Metazoa; Arthropoda; Arachnida; Ixodida; Ixodidae
Exons: 2
Source: RefSeq, a predicted model, not a curated record